CACAAAGUGAUACAAGUUUUAUCAUUUUUACUCGUAAGAAUUUUCUUGCAUAUUCUUUUAACAGAGAUGAGCUUCGUUUAGCUGUAGAGUUGUAGUGCUUACUUUAGAGAGUUAUUAAAAAUUCUUCAAUCUUCAAUUGUUACGGCAAAACCUUCCAAAUAGUGUGGGGGAAGGGACUACUGUAUAUCUAAACUCUUGUAUUUGUUGUAAAACCGAUUGGUG
This 222-nucleotide unclassified non-coding RNA is filed under the name Hevea brasiliensis (rubber tree). Lineage: Eukaryota; Viridiplantae; Streptophyta; Magnoliopsida; Malpighiales; Euphorbiaceae. The record is from RNAcentral.